Molecule: signal recognition particle RNA, 101 nt
Filed under: marine eukaryotic metagenome
Description: Bacteroidales small SRP
Rfam family: Bacteroidales small SRP
About the family: The non-coding component of the signal recognition particle in Bacteroides
Source: RNAcentral
AACGGGCAAGUCUUACACGACCAGCUCCUGCUGAACUCCCCCAGGAUCGGAAGGUAGCAAGGGUAAGUGGUUGAGCGGUGCGAUGUAAGUAGCUUGCCCAU